CCUACGGGUGGCUGCAGUCGAGAAUCAUUCACAAUGGGGGAAACCCUGAUGGUGCGACGCCGCGUGAGUGAAGAAGUAAUUCGUUAUGUAAAGCUCUAUCAGCAGGGAAGAAAAUGACGGUACCUGAGUAAGAAGCCCCGGCUAACUACGUGCCAGCAGCCGCGGUAAUACGUAGGGGGCAAGCGUUAUCCGGAUUUACUGGGUGUAAAGGGAGCGUAGACGGCAGUGCAAGUCUGGAGUGAAAGGCGGGGGCUCAACCCCCGGACUGCUCUGGAAACUGUACGGCUGGAGUGCAGGAGAGGUAAGUGGAAGUCCUAGUGGAGCGGUGAAAUGCGUAGAUAUUAGGAGGAACACCAGUGGCGAAGGCGGCUUACUGGACUGUAACUGACGUUGAGGCUCGAAAGCGUGGGUAGCAAACAGGAUUAGAUACCCUUGUAGUC
RNAcentral lists this ribosomal RNA (440 nucleotides) under uncultured bacterium. Its description in RNAcentral is "partial 16S ribosomal RNA". It matches the Rfam family "Bacterial small subunit ribosomal RNA", at positions 338 to 795 of the family's 1533-position model. The record is from RNAcentral.